CUUCUUCAGAGACGUCCCCGUAAAGCGCCGAGUCGACUCCAAACAACGUCAAAAGAAAUUUUAUACAGCCGAGACGUCUCGCGUUCAAGCGGAGACGUCUCCGGAGCGCCUAGGACGCGACUGACACACUUUUGCAGGUUUGUUUGAAUUUCAAACGUUCAUAUUUUUGUGUCUAACGGAUCUAUUGCUUUUUGGGCUAUAAAAGGGAGCUUUUAAGUGCCUUCUAACAACUUCUCACCAACCCAACACAAGAUCAUUCAAGAGAGAAGAAAGAGAAAGAGGUUCAAGGGAGUUAGUGCUUUCAAGAGGAGAAAUCAAGUGCAUUCAAGCUUUCCCAUCUGAUUUC
This 346-nucleotide long non-coding RNA is filed under the name Phoenix dactylifera (date palm). RNAcentral describes it as "long non-coding RNA (PDAC_LNC019297)". Lineage: Eukaryota; Viridiplantae; Streptophyta; Magnoliopsida; Arecales; Arecaceae. The record is from RNAcentral.